UGGUAAUGAUGAGAAAAAAGGCCGAUCUUACGGCUGCCAUUUAUUUCAAUGGUAGUAGCUUGAUGGAUGCUUCUGAGUCUAAGGUUUCUGAGCCAG
Lotus japonicus is the source of this 96-nucleotide small nucleolar RNA. RefSeq annotates it as small nucleolar RNA snoR113. The record is from RefSeq and is a predicted model, not a curated record. The transcript has a single exon. Lineage: Eukaryota; Viridiplantae; Streptophyta; Magnoliopsida; Fabales; Fabaceae.